Molecule: long non-coding RNA, 221 nt
Filed under: Spermophilus dauricus (Daurian ground squirrel)
Lineage: Eukaryota; Metazoa; Chordata; Mammalia; Rodentia; Sciuridae
Description: Six3os1 conserved region 2 (ENSSDAG00000011708.1)
Rfam family: Six3os1 conserved region 2
Source: RNAcentral
GUGAGGGGCUGGGCGAGAGAAGGGAGGGGAAAGGAUGGGGGAACGCACGCCCCAAGAGCGAAAGCAAACAGCUAGCUGUGGAGGCGCCGCCCGCAGUUCAGGCUUCCCAACAGGAUAGCUGGACUGGGAUCCACCCGGUAUUUCGCAGGAAAGGGGGGGGGUGGGACGAAGCAAGAGGAGGAGAGUGCAUUACUAGAGGACAGAAGGAGGGAGGGAAGGAG